UACCUCAGUAACGGCGAGUGAAGCGGUAACAGCUCAAAUUUGAAAUCUGGCUCCUGCGGAGUCCGAGUUGUAAUUUGUAGAAGAUGCUUUGGGAGGUAGGGCCGGCCUAAGUUCCUUGGAACAGGACAUCAGAGAGGGUGAGAAUCCCGUAUGCGGCCGCGGCCUACGCCCGUGUAAAGCUCUUUCGACGAGUCGAGUUGUUUGGGAAUGCAGCUCAAAAUGGGUGGUAAAUUUCAUCUAAAGCUAAAUAUUGGCCAGAGACCGAUAGCGCACAAGUAGAGUGAUCGAAAGAUGAAAAGCACUUUGGAAAGAGAGUUAAACAGUACGUGAAAUUGUUGAAAGGGAAGCGCUUGCACCCAGACUUGGGCGUCGUCGAUCAUCCGAGGUUCUCCUCGGUGCACUCGACGAUGCACAGGCCAGCAUCGGUUUGGGUGGUUGGAGAAAGGCUCUAGGAACGUAGCUCUCUUCGGGGAGUGUUAUAGCCUAGGGCGUAAUGCAGCCCAUCCGGACCGAGGACCGCGCCUUCGGGCUAGGAUGCUGGCGUAAUGGUUGCAAGCGACCCGUCUUGAAACACGGACCAA
This 581-nucleotide ribosomal RNA is filed under the name Golovinomyces monardae. RNAcentral's name for it is "partial large subunit ribosomal RNA". It matches the Rfam family "Eukaryotic large subunit ribosomal RNA", at positions 76 to 669 of the family's 3401-position model. The record is from RNAcentral. Lineage: Eukaryota; Fungi; Ascomycota; Leotiomycetes; Helotiales; Erysiphaceae.